AAUGAACGUUGGCGGCAUGGAUUAGGCAUGCAAGUCGAGCGAGAAGGGUUUUGAAGCUUGCUUUGAAACCCGGAAAGCGGCGCAAGGGAGAGUAACGAGUAGUUAUCUACCCCAAGGCCCGGAAUAGCUGCGGGAAACUGCAGGUAAUGCCGGAUAAUAUCCCCGGAUCAAAGGUGUGAUUCCGCCUUGGGAGGAGACUGCUUUGUACUAGCUAGUUGGUAGGGUAAUGGCCUACCAAGGCUACGAUGCAUAGCGGGCGGGAGAGCGUGGCCCGUCUCACUGGGACUGAAACACUGCCCAGACACCUAAGGGUGGCUGCAGUCGAGAAUCUUCGGCAAUGGGCGAAAGCCUGACCGAGCGAUGCCGCGUGCGGGAUGAAGGCCCUCGGGUUGUAAACCGCUGUCGUAGAGGAGAAAGGUCUGAUGAAGAAUCAGAUUUGAUCUAUUCUAGGAGGAAGUCCGGGCUAAGUUCGUGCCAGCAGCCGCCGUAA
This 490-nucleotide ribosomal RNA is filed under the name uncultured bacterium. RNAcentral's name for it is "partial 16S ribosomal RNA". It matches the Rfam family "Bacterial small subunit ribosomal RNA", at positions 29 to 523 of the family's 1533-position model. The record is from RNAcentral.